CCUACGGGAGGCUGCAGUGAGGAAUAUUGGUCAAUAGACGAGAGUCUGAACCAGCCAAGUAGCGUGAAGGAUGACUGCCCUAUGGGUUGUAAACUUCUUUUAUAUGGGAAUAAAACAGGGUAUGCAUACCCUCUUGUAUGUACCAUAUGAAUAAGGAUCGGCUAACUCCGUGCCAGCAGCCGCGGUAAUACGGAGGAUCCGAGCGUUAUCCGGAUUUAUUGGGUUUAAAGGGAGCGUAGGUGGAUUGUUAAGUCAGUUGUGAAAGUUUGCGGCUCAACCGUAAAAUUGCAGUUGAAACUGGCAGUCGUGAGUACAGUAGAGGUGGGCGGAAUUCGUGGUGUAGCGGUGAAAUGCUUAGAUAUCACGAAGAACUCCGAUUGCGAAGGCAGCUCACUGGACUGCAACUGACACUGAUGCUCGAAAGUGUGGGUAUCAAACAGGAUUAGAUACCCGAGUAGUC
Molecule: ribosomal RNA, 460 nt
Filed under: uncultured bacterium
Lineage: Bacteria
Description: partial 16S ribosomal RNA
Rfam family: Bacterial small subunit ribosomal RNA
Source: RNAcentral